RNAcentral lists this microRNA precursor (95 nucleotides) under Schmidtea mediterranea. RNAcentral describes it as "microRNA sme-mir-125a precursor". Its record names the gene sme-mir-125a. Lineage: Eukaryota; Metazoa; Platyhelminthes; Tricladida; Dugesiidae. The record is from miRBase by way of RNAcentral.
CUGUUGUCUGUAUUUAUAUCCCUGAGACCAUUGACUGCAUUUGUUUGAGGUUUCAAUGUAGUUUUUGGUAUCAGGAUUGUGGAUAUGGAGCAUUC